UCGUUUUACAGGACAGCGAAGAAGUUCUUCGUUCGACGAUUCGCAACGUGAGUGAAGACACUGCACUGCGGUUCCGUAUAUAUUACUUCUCCAGAGGACGCUUCUAGAAUGUUCUUCCCACCCGUGCCCCUUAGAGGAGCCAAUCAGAUGCCGGUAUUUACCGAAUUCAGAUGGCCAUUGGUAAUAUGCUGUGAACUACGUAUGUCAAAACUGAAAUUCUCUGUGAUUAUCGACUGGAUAAGAUAUAAUUUAGAUCUUGUAAAUAUUCAGAUUUGCCUUUCUUUUAUUGCAACCAAAAUUAAUUUAUAAUUCCAUUAACGUAUGCUGCAAGGAUUAACAAUUUUGAGACAUCAUUUUUUAGAAUGACUUCCGCUUGGAAUGGCAGACGACACGGAAGUAGAAAACACGAGAAAUGUGGAGAAACAUCUAGUAGAUAUUAACAAUAAAUUUGGAUGUACAAGUAUGAAUAUAUUGUAAUAUAAAGAAUGAAAUUAAUGCUUUGAAAGAAAUGUUGAACGUAUUUGCAACGCAAUAAUCCUAGACGUUAAACAUGAUUUGUACAUAUACGUAUGUAGUUACAUUUACAUCGGAUUAUAAUCGAUGUAGUCAAGGACAUUUCAUUUCGUUGACAUCUAUAACCUUAUAGCUACCUUAUAGAAUUUUCUAUGCAGCAGUUUCGGCACGUGUACAUUUAUUUCGUGAAGGGAUAAAAGGUAUUAAAAUAAUACUAGUGGUUUAAUGUAUAUGUGAAAUACAGUGUGUGAAAUAUAUGUUUCUUUAUCUCGAAUCGAUAAGAUUCAACCAUGAACUUGAAUUCAUUAGCCGAAGUUUAAUGUUACUAUAGUAUGAAACGCAUAAGAUUUAAAUAUAUACAGUUUUUCGCAUACGUUACUCGUUUAAUGUUACACUAUAUUAGAAUAAAUUAUCCCAGCACCUAUGGAAUAUUAAUAAGCGAAUUAAUCGUUCCAGUAAAAGUUUGUCAAUUUCUUGAAAGCUGCCUUACGUCACGUAUAGUGACGCAUAUGUAUAUUCCGUGGACGCAUAUACAUAGUGACGUACGAAUCCUAUAUGUGUGCAUGCACAGUUUUCGAGGAGCUUCAAAAUAUCUCAAAUUUUUCGUGAUAUCAUCUCUCAGAAAUAAUUACUUCGAUACUGUAAUUAAUUAUAUAUUUACUUCUAUUCAAUUAUAAAUCUGAAAAUAUUAUAUUCUACUGUAAAAAAUUAUGUUUCAUGUACACGCGCACAUAUAAAUUUUAAAAACAAAUUCCAACACAUUUGUACAGUUACAAAUCACUACAUAUGUUUGUUACGUUCAUUUUUAACAAAGAGUUACAAAUUGGCGUACUCCUUUAAUAACAAAAUAAAUUGUUGAUAAUUAAAAAAUUUCAUUCUCAAAAUAUCAUAGUAACAAACAUUUACUAUUUUUUUGCAAGUUUGUUACAACAGCGCUAAUGGAAAAAUUCCACAGGAAACAAUUCGUAGGUUUGACAGGAUAAUAAUUUUCAAUGCUCCUUUGUUCACUGAUGCCAUCGAAUUAUACGAGUAAUGUUAUUAGAAAGAAAAUGUAGUCAAUGCAGCAAAAGACGGUGCAGAAAAUCGAUGACGAUAAGCGUUGCAGUAAAGUUUGCUAGCUCUACAGAAAUUUCCAGUGCGUUUCAGCAUAGUCCAGACACGUCUGUAUACACAUGCCUACUUGCAUUCUGUUCAAUACGUGACUGUGUUCGUGCAUGUGUUCUUUGCUCGACAAUAAGUUAUUCAUUAGUGUCUCUGUUUUUACAAUACUCCCAUCGUAAAUCUUGGCUAUGUGUAAAUUAUGUCCGUUACAAGAAAAAAAAUGGGUUUUCAUACACGUGUCACCAGUUCCUUUAAUUUAGGUUAUAAGAAUGCGAAUUUAUUAAUGUAUAAAUCUCCCCACUCGAGUAAUCACAUUCGUGAAUAAUUCUGCGAAACAAUUGCUGGAAACAGUUAUUUCCGUUCAAUUAAGAGCCACGAGCAACUACGAAGAUACAUAUUUAAAGUUAACUCUUGCUUCUGCUUUGACUGUACCUGCACUUCCUCUGUCAAAUAAAAGGCAUAAUUUUUUAAAUUAAAAUAAUUUCUACUUUUUUAAGGAUUUUAUAUUUUUAUUGUUCACUUUAAAAUAAUUCCCAAUUUUGUAAGGAUUUUAUGUUUUUAUUUUUUAUUCGAAAUAAUUCGCGCAGAAUUGUUUUUUCUUAUACUAAAUUAUUAUGUCCAGAAUUUAUUGGAUAUAACGAAGCAGUCGGCCUUUUUGUGAGUGUUAUAAAUCAGUGGAAAAAUACGAGGAAUUGCCAUGUCACGAUGUAAUUACAAGAUCUUGUUAAAUGAUUCGUGUGACUUGCCAGUGUCAUAAAAUUGCAGAUAUCAUUUCUUACGGAGCUAUAUAAAAAUAUCUUAAAUAAAACAUUCUCUGUUACAUGAAAGUGUGACGGAAUAUAUUCAAAUAUUUAUAAAUUAAUUUUUAAAAAUCUAACACUCUCGAGAAUUGAAUAUCUCCAUCCAGGUUUCUACUAACCUAAAAAUGCAAUGAUAUCCUCGUAUCAAAGUCAGUAGUCUCUUUUUUUAAUAUUUUGCAAACUAAAACUGAUUGAACGUUGAAAAAAAUAAUAUAAAUACAGUAAUCAAUAGAAACUCCUAUGAAAUUUUAAACAAUUUUAUUUAAUCUUUAAUUUAUUUUUUAAAUAUAAU
Nomia melanderi (Alkali bee) is the source of this 2706-nucleotide non-coding RNA. NCBI's taxonomy places the organism in Eukaryota, Metazoa, Arthropoda, Insecta, Hymenoptera, Halictidae. The record is from RefSeq and is a predicted model, not a curated record.